This 72-nucleotide transfer RNA is filed under the name Grifola frondosa (maitake). It matches the Rfam family "tRNA". From Rfam's summary of the family: Transfer RNA (tRNA) molecules are approximately 80 nucleotides in length. Their secondary structure includes four short double-helical elements and three loops (D, anti-codon, and T loops). Further hydrogen bonds mediate the characteristic L-shaped molecular structure. tRNAs have two regions of fundamental functional importance: the anti-codon, which is responsible for specific mRNA codon recognition, and the 3' end, to which the tRNAs corresponding amino acid is attached (by aminoacyl-tRNA synthetases). tRNAs cope with the degeneracy of the genetic code in two manners: having more than one tRNA (with a specific anti-codon) for a particular amino acid; and 'wobble' base-pairing, i.e. permitting non-standard base-pairing at the 3rd anti-codon position. The record is from Rfam by way of RNAcentral. Lineage: Eukaryota; Fungi; Basidiomycota; Agaricomycetes; Polyporales; Grifolaceae.
GGUGUCAUGGCAGAGAGGUUAAUGCGGAGUACUGUUAAUAUUUUUUCAGAGGUUCAAUUCCUCUUGACACCU